GACGAACGCUGGCGGCGUGCUUAACACAUGCAAGUCGAACGGAAAGGCCCUGCUUGUGUGGGGUGCUCGAGUGGCGAACGGGUGAGUAACACGUGAGUAUCCUGCCCUUGACUUUGGGAUAACUUCAGGAAACUGGGGCUAAUACCGGAUAGGAGCUCCUGCUGCAUGGUGGGGGUUGGAAAGUUUCGGCGGUUGGGGAUGGACGCGCGGGUUAUCAGCUUGUUGGUGGGGGAGUGGCUUACCAAGGCUUUGACGGGUAGCCGGCCUGAGAGGGUGACCGGCGACAUUGGGACUGAGAUACGGCCCAGACUCCUACGGGAGGCAGCAGUGGGGAAUAUUGCACAAUGGGCGGAAGCCUGAUGCAGCAACGCCGCGUGCGGGAUGACGGCCUUCGGGUUGUAAACCGCUUUCGCCUGUGACGAAGCGUGAGUGACGGUAAUGGGUAAAGAAGCACCGGCUAACUACGUG
This 468-nucleotide ribosomal RNA is filed under the name uncultured bacterium. RNAcentral's name for it is "partial 16S ribosomal RNA". It matches the Rfam family "Bacterial small subunit ribosomal RNA", at positions 28 to 507 of the family's 1533-position model. The record is from RNAcentral.